RNAcentral lists this non-coding RNA (50 nucleotides) under Chloropicon mariensis. The record is from RNAcentral. Lineage: Eukaryota; Viridiplantae; Chlorophyta; Chloropicophyceae; Chloropicales; Chloropicaceae.
AACGCAAUUGAAAAAAAAAAGAAAGAAGAAAAGGGAAGAGAAGAGUAAAC